GAGGAAAAGAAAAUAACCAUGAUUCCCCUAGUAACGGCGAGUGAAGAGGGAAAAGCUCAAAGUUGGAACCUGGCUGCCCUAGGCAGUCCGGAUUGUAAACUAAAGAGCGUGAUUCCAGGCAAGCCGGUUGAUCAAGUCCUUUGGAAUGAGGCGCCACUGAGGGUGAGAGCCCCGUAAGUCGACUGAGCAUUUGUCUUUUGUGUUUCGCGUUCAAAGAGUCAGGUUGUUUGGGAAUGCAGCCUAAAGCUGGUGGUAAAUCCCACCUAAAGCUAAAUACAGGCGAGAGACCGAUAGCGAACAAGUACCGUGAGGGAAAGAUGAAAAGAACUUUGAAAAGAGAGUUAAACAGUAUGUGAAAUUGCCAAGAGGGAAGCAUUUGGAGUUAGAUUGACUAGGAGUUAAUCAGCUUGGUCUUUGGACUGGGUGUACUUGACUUCUAUUGGUCUGCCAAUAGCAGUUAGUCCUAGUGGAAAAAACCAGAGGGAAGGUAGUCCUUCGGGAUGUUUAUAGACCUUUGGAAAAUACACUGGGAUUGACUGAGGAAUGCAGUAGAUGCCACUAAGGCUUCGUCUAGUGGGUGCUAGGCAAAGGUACUUGGUAUUUUCAGCUUGCUGAUGUGCUAGGUUACUCGAGUCUAGUCGCCUACUAGAACUGUAAUCUACUUUGGUUAUUGGCUUAAUGACUCUAAAUGGCCCGUCU
Molecule: ribosomal RNA, 699 nt
Filed under: Lichtheimia ramosa
Lineage: Eukaryota; Fungi; Mucoromycota; Mucoromycetes; Mucorales; Lichtheimiaceae
Description: eukaryotic LSU rRNA
Rfam family: Eukaryotic large subunit ribosomal RNA
Source: RNAcentral